Long non-coding RNA from Erinaceus europaeus (western European hedgehog), 558 nucleotides. RefSeq lists it as uncharacterized. The record is from RefSeq and is a predicted model, not a curated record. The transcript has 4 exons. Lineage: Eukaryota; Metazoa; Chordata; Mammalia; Eulipotyphla; Erinaceidae.
CAGUGGUGGUAAUGGCAGGUUGGAGAAGAAUGAAUGGCCCUGGCAGAACUUAAGAGGACUGAUUGGAUAUGGCACUGGGAUGGUGGUGGGGACCAGAGACUUGAACCCAGGUCCUUGAGCAUUGUAGUGGGUGUGCUCAACCAGAGUCUAGAAUCCUGUGACUGGCCUGGGUGGUUCUGCAACUGCGCUGGAGGCUGGGGGAGGGCUCCCUGCCACUGGAAGCCUGACAUCAACUCAUCAGAGGGGAAGGAAGGGUCACUGACAUUUUGGGAUUCCUGGAACCUAGUGAACCAAGCAGUCAACUGGACUUGGUAGAUGGUUCUUGUUCAGGAUCUCUUGAGCAGAUGCACUCAGAGAAGCUGGAGCUGACAUUGCUUAGAAAUCUUCCUCACUCACAUGACACACUUUCCUGUUGCUUGUUGGCUUGUAGCUGCCACCCAGAUACCUACACAUCUCUUUUCUGUGUACCCUGGGCUUCCUCACAGUAUGGCAGCUGGGGUCCAGGUGUAAUCACUUAGGCUGGGGUGACAGCAUAAUGGUUAUGCAAAAAGAUUUUCA